RNAcentral lists this ribosomal RNA (2217 nucleotides) under Triticum aestivum (bread wheat). RNAcentral's name for it is "partial small subunit ribosomal RNA". The record is from RNAcentral. Lineage: Eukaryota; Viridiplantae; Streptophyta; Magnoliopsida; Poales; Poaceae.
CCGCCGCACCGUCUCGUGUCACGGAAGGGAUCUAUAUAUUAUAGGGAGGCGAUCUAACGCGCUCGUCGCCGUCCACGGCACCGGCGGCUAAGGUCUCAUAGAAGGCGGCCUAGGUAUUCUCCUCGUCUGCCGGCGAACUUCUAAUUAUGAAGAAGAAAAUAACGGAGUGAUGAUGUUAGAGGGCCAUAUAGAAGGUGGAGGCGGCGAGAUGGAAGGCCAAGAGUAGUGCCGACGCGGCGGCUCCUCAGAGUCUCGAACACCCCGCGACGUCCUCCCUUCCAAAGUUUAAAUAAAAUACGGGUUCCUAUAAACUUCAACACGAACAAUUCUUGAUCCGAGAACGUCGGAGAGAUAUAGGUUAAGAUGAUGACUCAAAAGGAACCGGGUUUGUAAAAACACAGGUUCUGACACCAUCUCUGCCAGAGUAAGAAAAAUGCCCUCUUAUAUACUGAAAUUUUAGAUACUUCUUGUGGAAAAAUACAGUCUUCCUCUUUAGUUUCAGUAGUCAUUUAAAAAACCUAAAUAGGAGUUCGAGAUCAAGCGGUCAACAGCUACCACAAACAAAACAAGGAUGAAGUCUUCUACUAGUGGUGGACAUAUUUGCCUCCUCCUGCCUGGUCUUUACAGUAAAACAAGGCUGUUUACGUUUACCUUUAUUCUCAUCCUCAUGUUUGUCUUUACGCUAGUCCUCAUGUUGUCUACCUUUACGCUCCUUUUCAUGUUGGUCUUCAAGACGUUGAAAACUUCUAUAAAGCGGGGUCCGUGAAUAACAAGGAAGUCUACCUCUUCAAAGUUUUAGACUUUGUUUGUAACAACUUAUAUGUUUUUUUAUAUUUCUAUGGCGUCUUCGAAGAUUCUCUUUAAGAACCUUUUUGAGUAGCCACAGUGAAAGAUGGCACCUACUAUCCUUCAGUUAUAGGUAUAGUUCGUCCGGUAGAAUAUAUUUCGUGUUCCAUCUCCUAAGGUCCCUCAGACUAUGUCUUAGUGAAUACCUCAAUUGUAGUUCCCUCCAAACGUAUAGGAACGAGCUUUCCCUAUAUCAAGAGUAGCUUUUUAGUCUCGAGUCGUCGUGUAGUUGAUGUAAUUGGGUACUACUAUUACUUUCGUUGUGAAAUAAACGUACGUUCUCAACACCCAGAAAACUUCUAGGUACGGCGUACAAUUAUACACUAGCAACACUUCUUCGUAAGGUGAACGAAACGACGGUGGCAGCGUAGUUCUUUUAUGGUCUAUUACUAACCAUAACGGACCUAACAAGUUCCUUCUUUGGAUUCUCCGUCGCACUCUACAACGGCUCAUGUUUUCCUAGUCGGUUCGUAUAAGUUUCUGGAGAGGUUCAAGAACCGAGUUUUCCUCUAUACAACUACUUACGACUUGGUAUACUUUGAGUUCAUUCCUAACCAUCUCUGAAGGUUCGUCUUCAAGGUCUUACCAGGCCAGGUUAAAGACCGUCACUACUGAUAAAACCACUUGGACGACUUGAACUACGGUGACUUUACUGUUUAGACUCAAACGUCAACAGUGAUUCCGCGCUCCUGUUCUUUUGGUCGUAACCAUUGACCUAAGUCACGGUUCUUCAGAACCUGUGUCCACGAUAAACGCCGUUCACCGCCUCCCGUGGUGAAAAACAACAAGUCAGCUCGCUAACCCUAACAAGUACAAGUCAAGAAACCCUAGGUUAAGUACGACUAACACGACAAGGCGUCCUUAACCCAUGACGACUUCACGAAGUCGUUGACUUCAUGUAUUUAUUCGACUUCGAUGCAGACCUGUCAAUAUUCGUCUUUGCGACUUUCGACAUGUUGGCAGUCUUGUCCUAAACAGCCGUUUCUUUGGACGUCUCUCCCUUUGGUAGCGUGGUCAGGGUCGGGGUCAAGGGAGGAAGCGACAUACUACCAACUUAGAGAUCGAGUCAAUAGGGGUCAACCGGAACCUUACUCCUCUCCAAGACACCACAGCGGAGGCUUGUACAUCAAGAUUGAGGGUCGUUACAGAGGAACGAAACUUCGUUUACUGGAACGUCCAGCUCCUAAUCUUCGCACAAAAAAAAAGACAAGAAAAUCACUCUACAUCUUGACUUCCGAGGCAAUGGCAGUCCGCUCGGAUGUCGGAACACCUCACUUUAGCACUACCUUAAACACAAACUGGGACUUGUCAUCCCCUCGGGGACAACUCAAAUAACUACGUGACUAACUUACCUUCUUAGUAAUACGUAGU